UACGAAGGGGGCUAGCGUUGCUCGGAAUCACUGGGCGUAAAGCGCACGUAGGCGGAUCUUUAAGUCAGGGGUGAAAUCCUGGAGCUCAACUCCAGAACUGCCUUUGAUACUGGGGAUCUCGAGUCCGGAAGAGGUGAGUGGAACUCCGAGUGUAGAGGUGAAAUUCGUAGAUAUUCGCAAGAACACCAGUGGCGAAGGCGGCUCACUGGCCCAGUACUGACGCUGAGGUGCGAAAGCGUGGGGAGCAAACAGG
RNAcentral lists this ribosomal RNA (253 nucleotides) under uncultured bacterium. RNAcentral's name for it is "partial 16S ribosomal RNA". It matches the Rfam family "Bacterial small subunit ribosomal RNA", at positions 524 to 776 of the family's 1533-position model. The record is from RNAcentral.